ACGGAGAGUUUGAUCCUGGCUCAGGAUGAACGCUGGCGGCGUGCUUAACACAUGCAAGUCGAACGAACCUUCGGGUUAGUGGCGGACGGGGGAGUAACGCGUGAGAAUCUGCCCUCAGGAGGGGGACAACAGCUGGAAACGGCUGCUAAUACCCCAUAUGCCGCGAGGUGAAAUGAAUUUCGCCUGAGGAUGAGCUCGCGUCUGAUUAGCUAGUUGGUGUAGGUAAUGGCUCACCAAGGCAUCGAUCAGUAGCUGGUCUGAGAGGAUGAUCAGCCACACUGGAACUGAGACACGGUCCAGACUCCUACGGGAGGCAGCAG
Molecule: ribosomal RNA, 320 nt
Filed under: Alexandrium tamarense
Lineage: Eukaryota; Dinophyceae; Gonyaulacales; Pyrocystaceae
Description: partial Bacterial small subunit ribosomal RNA
Rfam family: Bacterial small subunit ribosomal RNA
Source: RNAcentral